Molecule: transfer RNA, 76 nt
Filed under: Hyphomonadaceae bacterium UKL13-1
Lineage: Bacteria; Pseudomonadati; Pseudomonadota; Alphaproteobacteria; Hyphomonadales; Hyphomonadaceae
Also listed under: 7 other names
Description: tRNA-Thr
Rfam family: tRNA
About the family: Transfer RNA (tRNA) molecules are approximately 80 nucleotides in length. Their secondary structure includes four short double-helical elements and three loops (D, anti-codon, and T loops). Further hydrogen bonds mediate the characteristic L-shaped molecular structure. tRNAs have two regions of fundamental functional importance: the anti-codon, which is responsible for specific mRNA codon recognition, and the 3' end, to which the tRNAs corresponding amino acid is attached (by aminoacyl-tRNA synthetases). tRNAs cope with the degeneracy of the genetic code in two manners: having more than one tRNA (with a specific anti-codon) for a particular amino acid; and 'wobble' base-pairing, i.e. permitting non-standard base-pairing at the 3rd anti-codon position.
Source: RNAcentral
GCCGGUUUAGCUCAGCAGGUAGAGCGCCCGAUUUGUAAUCGGACGGUCGCGGGUUCGAUUCCUGCAACCGGCACCA